This 409-nucleotide ribosomal RNA is filed under the name uncultured bacterium. RNAcentral describes it as "bacterial SSU rRNA". It matches the Rfam family "Bacterial small subunit ribosomal RNA", at positions 958 to 1391 of the family's 1533-position model. The record is from RNAcentral.
AACGCGAAGAACCUUACCAACCCUUGACAUCCUAGGACAACUCCAGAGAUGGAGCCUUCCUUCGGGACCUAGUGACAGGUGCUGCAUGGCUGUCGUCAGCUCGUGUCGUGAGAUGUUCGGUUAAGUCCGGCAACGAGCGCAACCCACAUCCUUAGUUGCCAGCAGUUCGGCUGGGCACUCUAGGGAAACUGCCCGUGAUAAGCGGGAGGAAGGUGUGGAUGACGUCAAGUCCUCAUGGCCCUUACGGGUUGGGCUACACACGUGCUACAAUGGCAGUGACAAUGGGUUAAUCCCCAAAAACUGUCUCAGUUCGGAUUGGGGUCUGCAACUCGACCCCAUGAAGUCGGAAUCGCUAGUAAUCGCGUAACAGCAUGACGCGGUGAAUACGUUCCCGGGUCUUGUACACACC